Molecule: ribosomal RNA, 874 nt
Filed under: uncultured fungus
Lineage: Eukaryota; Fungi
Description: SSU rRNA
Rfam family: Eukaryotic small subunit ribosomal RNA
Source: RNAcentral
GUGCCAGCAGCCGCGGUAAUUCCAGCUCCAAUAGCGUAUAUUAAAGUUGUUGUGGUUAAAAAGCUCGUAGUUGAACCUUGGGCCUGGCUGGCCGGUCCGCCUCACCGCGUGCACUGGUCCGGCCGGGCCUUUCCCUCUGUGGAACCCCAUACCCUUCACUGGGCGUGGCGGGGAAACAGGACAUUUACUUUGAAAAAAUUAGAGUGCUCCAGGCAGGCCUAUGCUCGAAUACAUUAGCAUGGAAUAAUAAAAUAGGACGCGCGGUUCUAUUUUGUUGGUUUAUAGGACCGCCGUAAUGAUUAAUAGGGACAGUCGGGGGCAUCAGUAUUCAACUGUCAGAGGUGGAAUUCUUGGAUCAGUUGAAGACUAACUACUGCGAAAGCAUUUGCCAAGGAUGUUUUCAUUAAUCAGGAACGAAAGUUAGGGGAUCGAAGACGAUCAGAUACCGUCGUAGUCUUAACCAUAAACUAUGCCGACUAGGGAUCGGACGGUGUUAUUCAUGACCCGUUCGGCACCUUACGAGAAAUCAAAGUGCUUGGGCUCCAGGGGGAGUAUGGUCGCAAGGCUGAAACUUAAAGAAAUUGACGGAAGGGCACCACCAGGGGUGGAGCCUGCGGCUUAAUUUGACUCAACACGGGGAAACUCACCAGGUCCAGACACAAUAAGGAUUGACAGAUUGAGAGCUCUUUCUUGAUUUUGUGGGUGGUGGUGCAUGGCCGUUCUUAGUUGGUGGGGUGACUUGUCUGCUUAAUUGCGAUAACGAACGAGACUUAACCUGCUGAUAGCCCGCAUUGCUCCGGCAGUGCGCUGGCUUCUUAGAGGGACUUUCGGCUCAAGCCGAAGGAAGUUUGAGGCAAUAACAGGUCUGUGGAUG